CUACAAAAACUAGGAAAACUUAUUGACUUGAGGAACCUAGGGUGAGAAAUGCAGCAGCGAAUGUCCAUUUUAUAACAUGAUAAAAGUUAACUUAAAGGCAUAAUAUCACCUUGUGACUUUUUGUCUGUUCAUCCCCACCCUAUUAAGUGACAUACAGAACAUUUUAAGGAAUUUUUUUUUGUUUAGUUAGACUUAGACAAAAAGUCAGUACCUGUGCGUGCCACCUUCUGUGAUGCUACAACAAGGGGUUCAGUAAAGUCUUCUGUUAGGAUUAUGUGCCAGUGGACAGUUAGGACAGGGUGUGCCAGUGCCACGCUGAUGCUGCCUGGCGCCUGCUGAACUAAUGCAAAGAAGAGAAGAUAACCACAAUCGCUUUCAGAUCCAGAAUGUGCUAGAAAGGAAGCCUCACCUAAUAGAAUGUCGCAUGUCAGGUCUACCUACGUUGGCUGCCUCCUGCCUGAAACAUACAAUUAAUUAGCUUGGAGAGCGGACACAAAGAUGUUAAGUGACUCCUCCUCUGGGCUUCAUCCCUUGCCUCCUAGUACAUUCAGUUUUUUUUUUUUUAUAAUUCUUUAUUUUAGUAUUUUUUUCAAAAUAAAGGGCUACAGAAAUAAAAAGGGAAAUAAAUGGGUAAAAUCACAUUUUAUACAGUAUCACUUUCACAUUAAGUUGCAGCUUAAACAUGUAUUUAGUUCCUCAGCCCUUAAUCAAGACAGUUAGUAUUAUUUAUUUAACUUUUCUUUAUAUUUGAUCCAUGGGGACCAUAUCUUCCAGAAUAUCUUGCUAUUGUUAUAGUAUAUAGAGGUUAGUUCCUCCAUCUCUCUUAUAUCUUUAACCGUUCUUAUCCAGUCAUUAAAUGUAGGGGCAUCUUUAUUCUUCCACUUUUUAGGUAUAAGAGACUUAGCUGCUUGAAUCAUGUGGAAGGUAAGAGUAUCUUCUAACAUUUUUGAGUUUUCUACAUAAACAUUGAGAAGAAUAACCGAAUAUUCCUCUAUCCUGAUUUUAAUAGAGGUUAUUUUAUAUAUAUCAUCUAGAACCUGGGUCCAGAAGUCUUUGAGGACUGGGCAUGAUAACCAUAUAUGGACGCGAAUGUCUUCGGAUUCAUUUUGUUAAGUUUAGCCGGUGUAUAGUGCCACCUAGUUAUCACUUUAUACAUUGCUUCUCUUAUGCUCAUAGUUUUUGUCAUCUUAUGCCCAUAUUUAAAUAUAUUUUUCCACGUCUCUUCUGGUAUAGGCUUACCCAGUUCUCCCUCCCAGGAAUUACAAAAUGCAUAGAUUUUAUUGCUAUCUCUAUUUAAUAUCAUAGUGUACAUUUUUGAUAAGGGUUUAAAGGAGAAGGAAAGCCAAAAAACGACUUAAGCUCUAAAUGUUGACAAUGUAUAGUAUUUAUAAUUACCAGCAAGCAUUCCCUCAUUAGUUUUUCCCUUAAUUAUUUUGCUGCAAUCGAUUUUUUAAAAAGUUUAGACAUGUAUGAAAAAGCAUACCCUUGUUUCUGUAAGAAAUCCAUCUGAAUAGGGCACACGCAUGCGCAAUAGCUUCCAGCAGUGCCCUGCACAUGCGCACAAGAGUCUUGUCUUCCUUGUUCAGCAAUGAUGAUGCGGUCACGUGACUCAGCCAUUCAUCAUCGCUGACCUCUCUGACCCCGCCUCAUUAAUUCAUGCUCCAAUAGCCGAUGCAGCUUCCCGUUGUCAGGAAACUAGGGGAAGCUUUGAAGCUCCUGCGCUCGCUCUGCUUUUAAUUUACAGUCUGUCAGUGAGCGAGCGCAGGAGCUAAGGAAAGGAGCUUAAAAAAAGGCAGCCAACAUUCGGGUCUUUCUGACUGAGGUCUGGUGUGGCUCCUUGUUAGCAGUCUGAAUGCGAGAAUGAUUACAUCAGGGGGGCCAUGAAGGAGGCGCAUGCGCAUGAAGAGAAGUGCCAAUUUGAAAAUGGCUGCACCAAACUGUUAUAAGGGGCAAAACGUCCAAACGCUUGGUGCACAGAAUCAGCACCGGUUUCAGAGUUUCUACUGUGGCGUUUCAGGAGGGGUCCUGAUGGAGAACAAAGAGAGGGUAGUUUAGUUUUUUGGCUUUCCUUCUCCUUUAACUAGCUCAUGAUCUUCCUCUAUUAUUUUUUCCCAAUGAGUUAGGGCUCUAUCCCAUUCCUUGUCUCUAUUUUUUUUUAUAAAAUAAUAUAGUUGGUAGUAGCCCCAUAGGUCCCUAGGGUAUUUCCCCCACCUCCUCUGGAUCACUUCCAGUGGAACCAGCUUCUUUCCUUUAAUUAAAUCCUGUAUUCUAGUUGAUCUUUCCUCCCACUUCUCCCAUCUUGAGAAUGCUCCCUUUUCCAACCCCGGCGGGAAAUUUGGAUUGAGACAUAAUGAUUGUAGCGCAUAGGGAGCACUAGUCAGAUGAAAUGCAAUUUUAUUCCUAUGCCAUAUUUUGAGAGUCGCCUUAAUUAAAGGAUGUUGAAGCAUUACCUCAUUCGAUAUCCAUUUAUCAUCCCAAAGUGAGUUUUCUAAAGGGUAAUUGGACCAUACCUGUUCUAGCUCGCACCAGUCUUUUUUACCUUUUCUCGUGGUCCAAUUCCAUAUUCUUACUAAAUGCACCGACAAAGUAUAGGUAUUGAUCUGGUAAUCCCAUCCCUCCUUCCUCUUUAGUUUCUGUUAAUAUCUUAUAACUCAGUCGCGCAUUCUUCCCACCCCAUAUGAAUCUAGAAAUCAUCGCUCUAAGCGAUUUGAAAAAACUGAGGUAAAUCGAUUGGUAAAACUUGAAAAAGGUAUAAUGCUUUGGGCAUCACUAUCAUUUUAAUAGCUUGGAUUCUUCCAAACCACGUGAUUUUAAUAUUUUUCCAUUUAUCAAUUAUCUUUUGUAGGGUUAUUAAAAGUGAAGCAUAAUUAUCGUGAUAUCUUUCAUGGUCCGCACUUAAAUUAACCCCUAAGUAUUUAAUAUUGAGGUUUGACCACUUAAAUGGGAAAUUAUUUUUCAUUUGUGUAGCUAUUUCUUUUUCAGUGUUGAUAUUCAGGAUCUCCGAUUUUGAAUAAUUAAUUCUGAAAUUCGAAGCUUCUCCAAAACGUUUAAACAAAUUAAGCACAUUUGGUAUUGUUACUAAUGGCUUCGUUAUAUACAACAAGAGAUCAUCUGCAAAAGCUGCACUCUUAUAUUCUUGCCUCUUAAUCUGAAGACCCGAUAUAUCCCUAUUAUUCCAGAUAUGUGUUAAGAGGACCUCCAUCACUAAAAGGAACAAGAGAGGUGAUAAAGGGCAUCCCUGUCUUGCACCAUUAUAUAUCUGGACCCUCCGUGAAAGAAUACCAUUUACUUUUAUUUUGGCAGACGGUUUAUCAUAUAGUGCCAAUAUUCUAUUUCUAAAUUGUUCUCUAAAUCCAAAAUUUAUCAAAGUUUUUUCUAGAAAUGUCCAUGAAAUUCUGUCAAACGCUUUUUCUGCGUCUGUCGUAAGCAAGCAUAAUGGAGUAUGUUUUUUUUGCAUAUUGAAUUACCGAUAUUGUUUUUGUUAUAUUGUCUUUUGCUUCCCUUUUAGGUACGAAUCCUGCUUGGUCGGAAUGUAUUAGAGAAGUGACCUCCGUGGCUCGAGCAAAUUAUCUAUACUACAGUUGGGGUCAUGCCACCCUGGAGCCAGAGAGCUGAAAAGACUCCACCACCAGCUAAGUAAAUAGAUUGCCCGUCUGCCUUACCGCUUUAUGGAGGACUGCAGGCAAGCUCCAACUUUCCCUAGGGGUGCUGUUCCCCCUACACAGAGGUCUGCACCAGCCUAGACAUACAGGGAAGCAGAACUAUUCUCAGGGCACGAACAGACUGGCUGAACGGGAAGGAAACCUCUAGAUAACAGUGCCUGCCUGUCUCCCCCCCCCCCCCCCCCACCAUGCAGUAUCUAGCCUUUCUGCCGCCUCACAGGGAAGGGAGCUACCACUUUCAGCACUUACUCUCUUUACAUAAGGUCCUAGCAGGAAAAAAAACAGGUACAGACAUCGCUCACCUAAUAACGUUACCACAGCGCAACCGACUUCAUUUGCGUCUAGGAGGAUGGUUGUCCCUCAUCCUAGUAAGCAGGACACUUAAAAACUGAGGGAUUAUUGGCAGUGUGGGGUUAAACCGGGGUCCCAGACACGCCCCCUCUUAUUUAGUUCUAAGUGUCCUGUCUCCUAGAGGGUGCAGUUUAACCCCAAUAGUUCCUGUGUCCCCCCUGAGACAACAGAGAAAUACACUCCCAUUAAGUAAUGUGAUGAAUGGGCAUGUUGUUCAUCAAAAUCUGGACACAGACUUUCAAAAUAAAAACCACCAGAAAGCUG
Long non-coding RNA from Xenopus laevis (African clawed frog), 4277 nucleotides. RefSeq lists it as uncharacterized. The transcript is spliced from 2 exons. NCBI's taxonomy places the organism in Eukaryota, Metazoa, Chordata, Amphibia, Anura, Pipidae. The record is from RefSeq and is a predicted model, not a curated record.